UACAGAGGUGGCACGCGUUGUUCGGAAUUACUGGGCGUAAAGGGCGAGUAGGUGGCCAUCUAAGUCAGACGUGAAAUCCCCCGGCUUAACCUGGGAACUGCGUCUGAUACUGGACGGCUUGAGUAUGGGAGAGGGAUGUAGAAUUCCAGGUGUAGCGGUGAAAUGCGUAGAUAUCUGGAGGAAUACCGGUGGCGAAGGCGGCAUCCUGGACCAUUACUGACACUGAUCCGCGAAAGCUAGGGGAGCAAACGGG
This 253-nucleotide ribosomal RNA is filed under the name uncultured bacterium. RNAcentral describes it as "partial 16S ribosomal RNA". It matches the Rfam family "Bacterial small subunit ribosomal RNA", at positions 524 to 776 of the family's 1533-position model. The record is from RNAcentral.